UUUCCACUUAUUUCCUCGCCUCUUCCUCUCUUUUCACUCUCCCCCAUCUCCCUCAAGACCUCGCCGUCCACCACCCUACUACGCCGCUGGAAAUCUCCCACUGGCGAUGGCCGUCCACCAAAACAGCCCAAAAAUUCACCACUUCUUCCUCUCAACCUCCUAUCCAUGAAUCCAAGCCUCAUAUCCUCCAGACCUCCACCAAUCUCCGUAGAUCUAACCCCAACCGAAACCAUAGCUGCCCUGAUUAUUCCUCUUUCUUUCUCAAAUUCGUGACAAAUCCGACCACCCCACCCUACAAAUCUUACAUAAACGUGUAGAUCUCAAGGAGAUCUACACUUUCCCUCAAGGUUUACCCCGAAACUCCAAAAUCUGUCACUGCCGCCGCACCACUGCCGUUGUACUACCGCCAAAUACCGCAUCUCCGUUUCAAUCCACUUCUCGACUCAAAGACGCUCGUUUCCUUUUGGCAAGACGUCGAAACUCAUUUGUUUUAGCGUCUACCCGAAAGAAAUACGCGUUUUGGGGUCGGACAACCGCUAUUCGAAGGUUUCGAUAUCGUCUCGUCGCUCGAUUCAUCCUCGAAUGUCACUAGAAUUGGGUAAACUUGAACCCUAAUAUUUUCCUCCAUGUUUCUGAUUUUUUUGUUAUUGUUGUUUCCUACUGUUGAUUAUAGUUUUUAUUAUAGUGUAAAAUUUGUUGUUAUUUCGUCUAUGUUCGUAGUCAUUUCGUGUAAUCACUUGUUUAUUAGUUUGAUUAGCAGUUGUUUAUCUCUUGAUUAUUAGGGCUAUUUAGUUAUCAAUGUGUUGACUUUUUAUUUAUUCAAGUGUAUUGUUUAGUCAUAGUUGUUUUAAUGAAACAAUUAGUUGGUAUGUGAUUUGUUAAGCUGAUGGUUUCAAUUAGUUAGUUUGGAUAAUACACUUGUUUUGUUUGAUAUUUAGUUAUUAGAUUCUGAGUUUCCCUUAGUUGGUUUAUAGUUCAAUUUCUAAGUCUAGUUAUGUGUUUUUCUAUCUUAGUUUGGUUUGAAUCACAUAGGUUGGUACUAAUAUUGUAAGAGCUGAAGUUUAGGUUAUUUUAUCAUAAAAUAGGGUACUAGUAGCCUACAUUUUACUAGCACGGUAACUGAAAUGAUAUUUUUUCUCAUUGCUUCUGCUAUAGUAGAUUUUUAGGCUGUCCUUUCGCCCUUUGGACAGCCUUUGAACAAUGUUUAGCACACAAAGUCAGUCCUUUUUUGACAGACUUUUGGUGAACUAAAAUCUGUCCAAAAAGUGGCUUUCUUUGCCUACUUAAGGGCUAUCCUUUCCUCACUUUACACACACACACACACACACACACACUCUAUGAUACUUAGAGAUCAUCUUUUACACUUAAAAAAUACAUACGUAUCUUUGAGAAAAAUCAGCAGUUGAAUACUAAUAAUAAGCUGAAAAUUAUGAGCUUUGUGAGUGUUUCUUAGAGUGCAAAACCUUUGAGAAAAAUAAAAAGAUCCCUUCGGCAAUUUGUGAAGUUUGUUUAGUUACUAGUUUCAAGCAUCCUUGUUUAUUUUCUGGGCUGUUUUAACAUUGAGGGGUUGCUGUCUUUAGUACUGUGUUUGCUGCUAUUCUUGUUGAUCCUACUGUUGUACUUUUAUUAUUUUGCGACUCAGGUAACUCUUUAACCUUAUGUUGCAGAUAUUUUCACAUUAACAUGAAGAUUUGAACUCAUCUUGACUACUGGGAGCAUAUCCAUCUAGAUAAAUUAAUGCUAGAUAGUUUUUUUUGAUUGUUUAAUUAUAUCUUGUUGGAUUCAUAUGUAAAAAUGACUCCCUGAAUGUUUAAAUAGUCUUUAUUCAUGUGUAGCUGGACUUUAUUAUCUAAUAUAGUUUCAAUGCAUGCAAAAUGAGAUGUUUCAAGUAGGUUGUAAUGUGUUUAAGAACUACUUUUACACCUUGUGUAAUUCUGGCAAGUUUAUGUUAGGCCAUUCUUUAAAGUAAAGAACAAAACAGCCAUGUCUG
Molecule: long non-coding RNA, 1990 nt
Filed under: Nicotiana tabacum (common tobacco)
Lineage: Eukaryota; Viridiplantae; Streptophyta; Magnoliopsida; Solanales; Solanaceae
Description: long non-coding RNA (NTAB_LNC010587)
Source: RNAcentral